Molecule: non-coding RNA, 24 nt
Filed under: Arabidopsis thaliana (thale cress)
Lineage: Eukaryota; Viridiplantae; Streptophyta; Magnoliopsida; Brassicales; Brassicaceae
Source: RNAcentral
UAGGUUUAUCUCGACAAUCUCCUC